Molecule: ribosomal RNA, 497 nt
Filed under: uncultured bacterium
Lineage: Bacteria
Description: partial 16S ribosomal RNA
Rfam family: Bacterial small subunit ribosomal RNA
Source: RNAcentral
GAUGAACGCUGGCGGCGUGCCUAAUACAUGCAAGUCGAGCGAACGGACGAGAAGCUUGCUUCUCUGAUGUUAGCGGCGGACGGGUGAGUAACACGUGGAUAACCUACCUAUAAGACUGGGAUAACUUCGGGAAACCGGAGCUAAUACCGGAUAAUAUUUUGAACCGCAUGGUUCAAAAGUAAAAGACGGUCUUGCUGUCACUUAUAGAUGGAUCCGCGCUGCAUUAGCUAGUUGGUAAGGUAACGGCUUACCAAGGCAACGAUGCAUAGCCGACCUGAGAGGGUGAUCGGCCACACUGGAACUGAGACACGGUCCAGACUCCUACGGGAGGCAGCAGUAGGGAAUCUUCCGCAAUGGGCGAAAGCCUGACGGAGCAACGCCGCGUGAGUGAUCAAGGUCUUCGGAUCGUAAAACUCUGUUAUUAGGGAAGAACAUAUGUGUAAGUAACUGUGCACAUCUUGACGGUACCUAAUCAGAAAGCCACGGCUAACUACGUG